UACUCCUACGGGAGGCAGCAGUGGGGAAUAUUGGACAAUGGGGGCAACCCUGAUCCAGCAAUGCCGCGUGUGUGAAGAAGGUCUUCGGAUUGUAAAGCACUUUUGGCAGGGACGAUGAUGACGGUACCUGCAGAAUAAGCCCCGGCUAACUUCGUGCCAGCAGCCGCGGUAAUACGAAGGGGGCUAGCGUUGCUCGGAAUGACUGGGCGUAAAGGGCGCGUAGGCGGUUGUUACAGUCAGAAGUGAAAUUCCUGGGCUCAACCUGGGGACUGCUUUUGAUACGUAGCGACUAGAGUAAGGAAGAGGGUUGUGGAAUUUCCAGUGUAGAGGUGAAAUUCGUAGAUAUUGGAAAGAACACCGGUGGCGAAGGCGGCAACCUGGUCCUUUAC
RNAcentral lists this ribosomal RNA (389 nucleotides) under uncultured bacterium. RNAcentral describes it as "bacterial SSU rRNA". It matches the Rfam family "Bacterial small subunit ribosomal RNA", at positions 334 to 740 of the family's 1533-position model. The record is from RNAcentral.